GUGAGUAACACGUAAGGAACCUGCCCUCAAAUCUGGAAUAACCCUGCUAACGCGGGGCUAAUGCCGGAUGUGGACACGGGAUCGCCUGGUCCUGUGUUUAAAGGUGACCUCUUCUUGAAAGUUACUGUUUGAGGAUGGCCUUGCGGCCCAUUAGCUUGUUGGUGAGGUAACGGCUCACCAAGGCUUCGAUGGGUAGCCGACCUGAGAGGGUGAUCGGCCACAUUGGGACUGUGAUACGGCCCAGACUCCUACGGGAGGCAGCAGUAGGGAAUUUUGCGCAAUGGACGAAAGUCUGACGCAGCAACGCCGCGUGAGGGAUGAAUGCCUUCGGGUUGUAAACCUCUGUUGAGUGGGAAGAACCGGAGUAUGGCUAAUAUCCAUAUUCCCUGACGGUACCACUCGAGGAAGCCCCGGCUAACUACGUGUCAGCAGCCGCGGUAAUACGUAGGGGGCAAGCGUUGUUCGGAAUCACUGGGCGUAAAGGGAGUGUAGGCGGAAGGGUAAGUUAAGAGUUUAAGGCCCCGGCUUAACUGGGUGCACGCUCUUAAUACUGCUUUUCUUGAGUAUGGGAGAGGGUGAUGGAAUUCCAGGUGUAGCGGUGGAAUGCGUAGAUAUCUGGAAGAACACCAGUAGCGAAGGCGGUCACCUGGCCCAAUACUGACGCUGAGGCUCGAAAGUCGGGGGAGCGAACAGGAUUAGAUACCCUGGUAGUCCCGACCGUAAACGAUGGAUACUAGUUGCUGGGAGAGUCAAUCCUUUCAGUGACGAAGCUAACGCAUUAAGUAUCCCGCCUGGGGAGUACGCUCGCAAGGGUGAAACUCAAAGGAAUUGACGGGGGCCCGCACAAGCGGUGGAGCAUGUGCUUUAAUUCGAUGCAACGCGAAGAACCUUACCUGGGUUUGACAUGGGGAUGAAACUCUUCAGAGAUGAGGAGCCUUCCUUCGGGAACAUCCCGCACAGGUGCUGCAUGGUUGUCGUCAGCUCGUGUCGUGAGAUGUUGGGUUAAGUCCCCCAACGAGAGCAACCCCUGCCAUUAGUUGCUAGCGAGUAAUGUCGGGAAGUCUAAGGGGACCGCCUGGUCCAUCCAGGAGGAAGGUGGGGAUGAUGUCAAAUCAUCAU
RNAcentral lists this ribosomal RNA (1119 nucleotides) under uncultured organism. Its description in RNAcentral is "bacterial SSU rRNA". It matches the Rfam family "Bacterial small subunit ribosomal RNA", at positions 106 to 1196 of the family's 1533-position model. The record is from RNAcentral.